AGCAGCCGCGGUAAUUCCAGCUCCAAUAGCGUGUAUUAAAGUUGUUGCAGUUAAAAAGCUCGUAGUUGAAUUUCGGAAUCAAUAUGUUGGUCGUGCCUUGGUACGUACUAAUUUAUUGGUUUCUUCCUUCUGACGAACCAUGAUGUCAUUAAUUUGGUGUCUUGGGGAAUCAGGACUGUUACUUUGAAAAAAUUAGAGUGUUUAAAGCAGGCUCACGCUUGAAUACAUUAGCAUGGAAUAAUGAAAUAGGACGUUUGAUUCUAUUUUGUUGGUUUCUAGGAUCGACGUAAUGAUUAAUAGGGAUAGUUGGGGGCAUUAGUAUUCAAUUGUCAGAGGUGAAAUUCUUGGAUUUAUUGAAGACUAACUACUGCGAAAGCAUUUGCCAAGGAUGUUUUCAUUAAUCAAGAACGAAAGUUAGGGGAUCGAAGACGAUCAGAUACCGUCGUAGUC
This 450-nucleotide ribosomal RNA is filed under the name uncultured Glomeromycotina. RNAcentral's name for it is "SSU rRNA". It matches the Rfam family "Eukaryotic small subunit ribosomal RNA", at positions 569 to 1025 of the family's 1831-position model. The record is from RNAcentral. Lineage: Eukaryota; Fungi; Glomeromycota.